Long non-coding RNA from Hibiscus syriacus, 528 nucleotides. RefSeq lists it as uncharacterized. The transcript has 2 exons. NCBI's taxonomy places the organism in Eukaryota, Viridiplantae, Streptophyta, Magnoliopsida, Malvales, Malvaceae. The record is from RefSeq and is a predicted model, not a curated record.
CCAUGAUCAAGAAUUGUUCUUCUGGAGUGAUAUUACCUCUCCGAACAUCCGGUCGGAGAUAGUUUAGCCAUCGAAGUCGACAACUCUUCCCGGUAUCGAUGAAACAACGUAUGAUGAUGACGAUGAUUAUAAUUUACCCGCAGCUUUGGCAAGAGAAUUCCAAACACCUUCACCAUGGUUGGCAAUAUAGUUGAUGAGAAUCAAUCUUCUUCCAUUGUCCAUGGACCUUUUCUCACUUCAACUUCUUGAUAUUGCAUGGUUGUUUUUCCAUUAUUUUUUCUUUUUUGAUCAAAGAGAAGGAUAGCAAGAGUAUUGAGAGAUAAGAGAAAAUAAAAAUUUAUCUUAGAAAAAGGGAUGAUGAAAAGAGAGGGAGAGAAUGUGAAAGAAAAAGAAGGUAAUAUGGGGAUUUUAUAGAGAAAAUCUGAGAAGAUUUGUCCUUGGUAAUUCUUGAUGCCAAAGAGAAGAGCUUUUAACCUAAUUAUAGUGUUAACGAAGGCAUGGAUGCAUGGUUAAAUACUUUUGCAUGCA